GACAUAGGGAGGGAGAAAGGAGGCUCCAGGAAGAAUCGGAAUGAGAACUGAUGAAGACCUGAACUGCAGCAGGAGGAGAGAGAGUGGCGAGGACGUCUCACGUGUGCUGUCAUGUCAUUUAUUGGCACCACCUUCAACACAACUACUCAAGCCCAGUUGCUGAGCAUCAUCUGGAAUCCUUUCACCUUCCCAUGCACAAUCCUUGAGAUCUGGAGAUGCUACCUCCAAAACGCAACAAAAAAAUCUAACGACGACUCACUAUCUUCCCAUCUACUGUCCAGUUGUGUAUAUAUGCGUCUAUGGACCAGGUAGUGUGUCAAAGGUAUUUCUUAGCUGUAGGGUUGCAGCAAAAAAGUAUGGAAGCUAUUCAUUGCCCAUUAGGCAAUUAAAGAGUAAAGAUGUGGCCCCUGCCUACAUCUUUAAUCUCAUCUUCUGUCAUCUCCCCCUCUUUGCUCCUUUAGUCCCUGGAAAGUGGUAAGCUCUUUCCUGCCUUGGGGCCUUAGUAUUUGCUGUUAACUCUACCUGGAACAUUCUCCUUAUCUUUCCC
RNAcentral lists this long non-coding RNA (547 nucleotides) under Pan troglodytes (chimpanzee). RNAcentral's name for it is "lincRNA". Lineage: Eukaryota; Metazoa; Chordata; Mammalia; Primates; Hominidae. The record is from RNAcentral.